Molecule: ribosomal RNA, 314 nt
Filed under: uncultured eukaryote
Lineage: Eukaryota
Description: partial 18S ribosomal RNA
Rfam family: Eukaryotic small subunit ribosomal RNA
Source: RNAcentral
CCCUUAGAUGUUCUGGGCCGCACGCGCGCUACAAUGGCAGACUCAGCGAGUUACCUCUGUCGAAAGGCACAGGGAAUCUUUACAGUAUCUGCCGUGAUGGGGAUAGACCCUUGUAAUUUUUGGUCUUCAACGAGGAAUUCCUAGUAAACGCAAGUCAUUAACUUGCAUUGAUUACGUCCCUGCCCUUUGUACACACCGCCCGUCGCACCUACCGAUUGAAUGGUCCGGUGAAGUCCUCGGACCCAGUUGAACCCCGAGUUGAACAGGGAAAGUUGACUAAAUCUUACCAUUUAGAGGAAGGUGAAGUCGUAACA